UCUCUCGAUCUUCAAAGUUAAGGAACACAUACCGUUGUCAUAACACGGACAGCUGAUUACUACAGAUCAAAAACAUUUCUUUGACGGAUUAGUUUACUUAAAGUGACCUCUAUAGUACAAUAUCAAAAAAUUUAAAAUUUUGCUAGAAAUUACCACAAAUUUACUAAAGCAUCUUUCUUCGUAAAUUUUGUAAUAUAUUUUCAGUCUUUUAAAGUAGAUUUUCAUAAGGAAUCAAUCAUAUUGUCAUCUGUACACCAAUGAAUAUUCAUAGGCCCUCAUAUUAUUAGUUACAAUUCAUCUUGUCAACAACAUUUUCGAUAUAAACAUAUUUGUAUUCGUUAUUAUUGCCACGUGUAUUAUUUCUGGUUAUACAUCUAUAUAUAAACAUUCCUGUUACACUCUGGGAACUCGUCGAGUUUCGCGCAUUAUUUCGAAAUAAAUAUUACAAACAAAAUACUCGUAAAUGACAGUUACUAAAACGUGUUGCGGUCGAAUUAAAGAAAUUAGUAGAUUUUGUGGGGCCAUACAUAGAAGCACCAGGAGAGACAUAAAUGUUCACAUUUGGAAAUCUGCAAAGUUAUAGCAACUGCAAUAACGGACAAAUACUUUUGGGUCACAUACCGCAACCCGGAAGAAUGGAUAGAAUUACGAAAAGAAAUUUUACAAAAAAUACUAACUACUCUAUCACGCUGCGCAUACCAAUAUGAAACGGAGAUGAUAAUGUGCGCAAAAUUGUGUUACAUGUGUUUUCUACAGGGAAACAUAAGGCUCUGCAGUACUUACUAUUCAGCCAAUUUUUGUGAUGAUCACCAAAUACUGUUUAAUCUAUUUCAUAAAAAAUACUGCGAUGAGUUGAUGUUACUGAACACGAGUAUCGUCUAUAUUAACGGCUGUAUGAAAGAGACAGUCGAAUGUCGAUACGGACAAAAGUUCAUCUCAUUUCCUGAUGAGAAACCUUAUCAUGACAUUAUUAUAUUUCUUAAUUUUUAUAUACCCACAAAAGAUACAUAUUUUAGUAUAAUAUUAAAAUUUCCUUAUUCAACUCAGCACUGGACAUGUGAACAUUAUAAAUGUUCUGCAUAUGUAUCCGGUCCGAUGACAUUAUACUACGCAUUGCAGGAAUCAAACUUAUUAUCACUUCCACGCAUUGUACGUAAAUACAUCGUUCAUGUUAUAGAUGCAAUUAGAAUAGAUGGAAUGUAUUUGCAAAUUUGGCAUAUUUUGUUACAUAUUAAAAAAAAAAUAAAACAGCUGUAUAUUGUAUUUAUCAAUUCGCCAAUGUUCGAAUCCAAAGAUCUAGGGUUUAUGUGUUCUACGUGCAAUAACUAUAAUCAGAAACUUUAUGUUAAAUAUGUAUCAGAGCAAUACCACAAUUAUGUACGCUCAGAUUUAUAUGGGUAACCAAAUGUGAUUGUACUAGUUGAAAUAGAUGCUUUACUUCUAGGAAAAUGGUUCAAGUCUAUAACAGCAAUAAUAGCACAAGAGUGUCCGUUGUUUUUAACCGCCCAUUCGGAAAAUAUAGCGCAAGAGAGUGUAGAUAAGGUAGAAGAUGUGACAGGUGCAACCAGAAUUCGAAUAUACAGGAAAAAUAAAUUCGUCGGUUGUCCACCAUAUAGAAACUAUGUAACUGGAGGAUGUUAUUACCGAAAUACGCAUUUUAUUAUGUAUUCAUGAAUUUAAAUCACAUAACCCAUCCAUUCAAGAAAGUAAUGUAUUGUUUUAUCUUAAUUUCAUUUCAAUACAGAUGUGAUGGCACUCAUUACUUAAUAAAAUUUAGGAAUAAAUAUUAAUUUUCUUACUGAGAGAUACAUUUAGACACAAAUCAAUAGUAUUUUAUAUCUUACUUUUUCAGAAUAGGUAAAACAUAUUAUAUAAAAGAUAAUAGAAUGGUUGUCGCAUACAUAAUUUCUUAAAAUUUUACACUUUGCCGCACGCUAUUCUAUAAUUGGGUAUUAUAUACAGCUACGAUCAUUCUUUACUGAGUUAUGUACGAUUAUCUUGUAAAUUUCUCCAGUAUCGUCCGCGUGUUCUGCAAAUGAUAUGUGAUAGGAAUAAUUGUAAUACAUUUUAUAUAAGUUUUAUUUUUAUGUUGUAUCAUGUAAUAAACAUAAUUCGUUGCA
Long non-coding RNA from Odontomachus brunneus, 2120 nucleotides. RefSeq lists it as uncharacterized. NCBI's taxonomy places the organism in Eukaryota, Metazoa, Arthropoda, Insecta, Hymenoptera, Formicidae. The transcript has 2 exons. The record is from RefSeq and is a predicted model, not a curated record.